UACGGGGGGGGCAAGCGUUGUUCGGAAUUACUGGGCGUAAAGGGCUCGUAGGCGGCCAACUAAGUCAGACGUGAAAUCCCUCGGCUUAACCGGGGAACUGCGUCUGAUACUGGAUGGCUUGAGAUUGGGAGAGGGAUGCGGAAUUCCAGGUGUAGCGGUGAAAUGCGUAGAUAUCUGGAGGAACACCGGUGGCGAAGGCGGCAUCCUGGACCAACACUGACGCUGAGGAGCGAAAGCCAGGGGUGCAAACGGG
Molecule: ribosomal RNA, 253 nt
Filed under: uncultured bacterium
Lineage: Bacteria
Description: partial 16S ribosomal RNA
Rfam family: Bacterial small subunit ribosomal RNA
Source: RNAcentral